UACGGCUAGAGUUUGAUCAUGGCUCAGAACGAACGCUGGCGGCACGCUUCAUACAUGCAAGUCGCGCGAUUAAGGCCCGCAAGGGCGCAUAAAGCGGCGAACGGGUGCGUAACACGUGGAUAAUCUGCCUUUCGGUGGGGGAUAACGGCUGGAAACGGCCGCUAAUACCGCAUGUGGUUGCGAGGUCUUCGGGCCUUGCAAAGAAAGAGGCCUUUAAAGCCUUGCCGAGAGAUGAGUCCGCGCCCCAUUAGCUAGUUGGCGGGAUAACAGCCCACCAAGGCUUCGAUGGGUAGCCGAGCUGAGAGGUUGAUCGGCCACACUGGGACUGAGACACGGCCCAGACACCUACGGGUGGCAGCAGUAGGGAAUAUUGGACAAUGGGGGAAACCCUGAUCCAGCGAUGCCGCGUGGAUGAUGAAGGCCUUCGGGUCGUAAAGUCCUUUUCUGAGGGAAGAACUGUCUGGCGAGGAAAUGCGCUGGAUUUGACGGUACCUCAGGAAUAAGCAACGGCUAACUCCGUGCCAGCAGCCGCGGUAAUACGGAGGUUGCAAGCGUUGUUCGGAAUAACUGGGCGUAAAGGGAGCGCAGGCGGCUUGGUAAGUCUAAAGUGAAAUUCCAGGGCUCAACCCUGGACGUGCUUUGGAUACUGCCUGGCUUGAGUACGUGAGANGAGAUUGGAAUUCCANGUGUUAGCGGUGAAAUGCGUAGAUAUCUUGGAGGAACACCNGUGGCGAAAGCGGAUCUCUGGCACGUUACUGACGCUGAGGCUCGAAAGCAUGGGGAGCAAACNGGAUUAAAUACCCCGGUAGUCCAUGCCGGAAAAUUUUGNAGGAACNCCGGNGGCGAAAGCGGAUNUNUGGCACGUUACUGACGUUGAGGCUCGAAAGCAUGGGAAGCAANCGGGAAUUAGAUACCCCGGGUAGUCCAUGCNGUAANCGUUGUGCGCUAGGUGUAGAAGGUAUCGACCCCUUUCUGUGCCGCAGCUAACGCAUUAAGCGCACCGCNUGGGGAGUACGGUCGCAAGACUGAAACUCAAAGGAAUUGACGGGGGCCCGCACAAGCGGUGGAGCAUGUGGUUUAAUUCGAGGCAACGCGAAGAACCUUACCCAGACUUGACAUCCCAGGACCGCCUAUGAAAGUAGGUUUUCCCUUCGGGGACCUGGAGACAGGUGUUGCAUGGCUGUCGUCAGCUCGUGUCGUGAGAUGUUGGGUUAAGUCCCGCAACGAGCGCAACCCUUGUCCUUAGUUACCAGCGGGUUAUGCCGGGCACUCUGAGGAGACUGCCGAUGAUAAGUCGGAGGAAGGUGGGGACGACGUCAAGUCAUCACGGCCCUUACGUCUGGGGCUACACACGUGCUACAAUGGUCGGUACAGAGGGACGCAAGAUCGCGAGAUGGAGCCAAUCCCAAAAAGCCGGCCUCAGUUCGGAUUGCAGUCUGCAACUCGACUGCAUGAAGUCGGAAUCGCUAGUAAUCGUGGGUCAGCUACACCACGGUGAAUACGUUCCCGGGCCUUGUACACACCGCCCGUCACAUGACCCGAGUUGGGUGCACCCAAAGCCACUGGCUCAACCAGCAAUGGGGAGAGGUGUCUAAGGUGUGUCUGGUGAGGGGGAUGAAGUCGUAACAAGGUAACC
RNAcentral lists this ribosomal RNA (1636 nucleotides) under uncultured bacterium. RNAcentral describes it as "bacterial SSU rRNA". It matches the Rfam family "Bacterial small subunit ribosomal RNA". The record is from RNAcentral.